Molecule: long non-coding RNA, 2500 nt
Organism: Cryptomeria japonica (Japanese cedar)
Lineage: Eukaryota; Viridiplantae; Streptophyta; Pinopsida; Cupressales; Cupressaceae
Exons: 6
Source: RefSeq, a predicted model, not a curated record
GGUUAAUGCUCACAAAUAGGAUUUUAUGGGAAAUUGAUUUUGUGCAUGCCCUGUUGUAAGGAUCCAGUUAUGGGAUGGGGUGAGAAAUGUUGAGAAAAGAUUGUGGGUUCUAGAUUUACACGGGCCAUUUGCAUUUGCUUAAAUGUUUCCAAAUCCUUGCCAACAAAAUAAUUUCCAGCUUUAAUACAUAUCAAUAAGAUUAAUUUAAGAUCAGUAGGAAAACAACUUCAUUCCUGCUUGGUAAAUUGAGUGACUGGUACUUUAAUAUUUGUACAUAUCUUAAGCAUCUUGUAUUCUAAUUUUUAAAAAAAAACUUCAUUCCUGCUUGGUAAAUUUAGUGACUGGUACUUUAAUAUUUGUACAUAUCUUAAGCAUCUUGUAUUCUAAUUUUCAAAAAACAAUUUGCUUACCAUGGAGAAAUUUGUCCCAACCCACAGCCUAGAAUAUAAGAAAUCUUGCACAUAUAAUGAAAACCUAGAUGCAUUGCAAAGGGUAGAUCGCUGAUAAGGGGGCACAUCUUAGGAUUGUAGUAUCAUAAGAUUAUUUUAAUGGAAGAUCUAGGGUGGUACAUAUAUAUGUUUGCAUGAAACAAGUAUUUUUGUUGAUGGAGAAAGUACAGUGGCUAGCACAAAUGUACUAUUUGUUACCUUUUCUAUUGGUUUUGGGUUGUUUUUGGUUUCAGGUAGCCUCUGCAACAAAACUUUUGGAGCUAAUUUAAUUUUUGGGUGAAGUGCAAGCAUUUUGUGUUGCUUGAACAUUCUUCAGCUUUAUACAUAGAUUAAUGUAUAAAGCUACAAGUUUGUUUUGAACACUUUUUUCUCCUUCGGGUAUCAUAGAUUUUAGAAUUAAAAAUUAGGGACAAGGAUAGACUGAAUCUUACAAGACUGCAUUUAUCCUUGCCUGAACUCUCUAUCAUGAACUUCCCAAACUCCGAAUUUUCUGUCAUGACCAGAUUCAUAGCCUCUGCAACAGAACUUUUGGAGCUAAUUUUAUUUUUGGGUAAAGUACAAGCAUUUUGUCUUGCCUGAACAUUCUCCAACUUACUUUUUCUUUCCGUGCAUAAGGCAUUUUGUGUUUUCUGAACUUUAUUCAGCCUAAUUUUCUUUGUUGUGCAAGGGGACUGUAACCAAGAAACCCUGUGUUCCAUUUCAAGUACAAGAGAUGAACCAACAAGUAGAUGUUUCAGUGCAUAAAAAAACAAAACAAUAUCUAUAAUAUGUAAGUAGCUCAAACCAAAACAAAUUAGAGAUAGCCAGAUGCUUCUAUCUUGCUGUUGGCAAUAGAAAUGCCUCUAGAUUGCUCAAGCUUUGGGAAUUGACAAGUUUUCAGACCUGAUAGUCAAUAGUCCAUAAUAAUGUGAAUGUUUUUGGUUGUAACUGUGUAAGAAUUUUCGCACCCACUAGAAAUACUCACAAGUUUUGAGGCCCUCAAGUUGAACUCAGAGUAGAAAACAUAAGGAUAUUAAUAACAUCUGAAUGUAAAUAGAAUCAAAAUACUAAGCAUCUCAAAUAGAUAGGAGGCAAUUGAAUUCAUCCAUUUUUAAACUUGGUUUGACAACGAUAUUUGAACUUACACUCAUAUACAAGAUCCUUAUUGAGCUGAUAGGCUCUUCAUAUGAGGUUUCUUUGCCGAAAAAUUGUUAGUAUUGCAUAAUAAUUUCCCCACCCAUUGUUUCUUGUUCGCUUGAUUUGAUGUGAUAAUUUACACGCACAUUGUUCCUUGUUCACUUGUGUCUUGGAAAGUGCGAAGGGAAAUGUCAUGCGAUACAUGAAGUUUGCGUCUUUCUAAUGUGCGAGUACAUUGAAUUCGAGUUAUUAACAUUAACGACAACAUUUGGUAUAUGCUUAUCGAUGCACUACUUGAUCUCUGAAAAAUAUUUGGUUGAGGUUUUGUGUAGCUAACCGCUUUUUGCAGAAUGGUUGAUGCUUGUAUGGAAUGGUGAAUGACCGUUGAGCCUUCAUUCAACACGAUGCAAUUGACAUACAACAACAUCCAUACUUACAUGUCCACUGCUAUUACACAGUUACUUUUCCAUCCUUGCAUUUUUCAACACAUCAUCAAUGCUCCAUAUAACGGUGCUCCAACAAUUAUUUACAUGGAGCGCUUUCAUGCCUAAUUUGAAUAAUGGACAUUCUCAUGCACAUGCCUUCUACAAAGGACAUCAUGCUACCUCAACCCAAAAAUAAAAGGUUGCCUUGCCUGUAAUCUAGUUAUGGAUGUUACACCAUUCACUUCCAUUGCAAAGGUCAUAUAUUCUAAUAGAAUUGUCAAAGCCUAGUUUCAUGCUCUUCCUGCCUUCGUUUACCAUAUCCCUUGCCUCUUUCAAACUCCUGUUUCCGAAGCUUCCCAUUUUUUAUCCUCAUUGCAGCUGCACCAGCUCUUUGGUAGUACCACACACUACUUGUUCUUUUCCGCUUCAAGUUCUUCUUAGUUGCUUAAGUAGGCUGGUUAUCAAUCCCAUCUUUUUGUUCACAUACAUAUAUUCCUCAAAAUCAGAUGU